UACGAAGGGGGCUAGCGUUGCUCGGAAUCACUGGGCGUAAAGCGCACGUAGGCGGAUUGCUAAGUCAGGGGUGAAAUCCUGGAGCUCAACUCCAGAACUGCCUUUGAUACUGGCGAUCUUGAGUCCGGGAGAGGUGAGUGGAACUGCGAGUGUAGAGGUGAAAUUCGUAGAUAUUCGCAAGAACACCAAUGGCGAAGGCAGCUUGCUGGCAUGUAUCUGACGCUGAGGUACGAAAGCGUGGGGAGCGAACAGG
RNAcentral lists this ribosomal RNA (253 nucleotides) under uncultured bacterium. Its description in RNAcentral is "partial 16S ribosomal RNA". It matches the Rfam family "Bacterial small subunit ribosomal RNA", at positions 524 to 776 of the family's 1533-position model. The record is from RNAcentral.